AUGGGAAUACAAGUUGCUUAUUCCUAACAUGGUAUUAGAGCCUAGGUUCUUUUUGCACGCGCAACUCGUGCUCUUCCCGAUCUAAUCUUCCCCGCCUCGUCCCGUUCGUCUCAUCCCGCUCGCUUCGUCGUGGGUUCGCGAUCGCCACAGCCAGAUCGAGGCGUCUCCUGGUUCCGCUCAUGUGUACGACGUCCGCUCCUGGGACGCGGUUCCCAUCGCCAGCGCCAGCUCGAGGCCGCUCCCUCUCCUGGGACGCGGUUCACCAGAUCGAGGCGGCUCCUGGUUCCGCUCCUGUGUACAUCGUCUGCUCCUGGGACGCGGUUCCCAUCGCCAGCGCCAGCUCGAGGCCGCUCCCUCUCCUGGGACGCGGUUCCCAUCCCCAGCUCAAGGCCGCUCCCUCACGCGGCUCCUCUCAGAUCGCGCCGCCCCUGGCCCAGAUUGGUCUGAGGCUUUCCAGAUCAAGGCAGGGGCCCUCCAGAGCGAUUCCAGAUCGAGGUCUCGUUGCUCUCCCAGAUCGAGGCGGCUCCCCCAUCGCCAAAUCGGGUCCUGCUGUCUGACGCGGUUCGUUGACUAAAAAAAAAUGUCUGCUUCAUCCGGCUACGUUGUUGUUCCUCGUUGUCCGGUGAUCUUUGAUGGUACUAAUUACACCGAGUUUAUUGGCUUCAUGCGCAUUCACAUGCAUGGCAUCCGCCUAUGGGGUUUUCUUUCUGGCGAGGUCUGUUGUCCGCCAUGCCCGGUUCCUCCCGUGGCUCCCACUCUGCCGACCCCACCGGCUCUUCCUGCGAAUGCUUCUCAGGCCGCAAAGGAUACGGCUAAGCUUGUUGAUGAAGCCGCUAUCCGUACUUAUGAUGAGAAGGCUUUGGCUUAUGAGGAGGCUCUUGAGACGUAUCAUGGUGCUCUGUCUGCUUACACCCAGUGGCUUGAUGAUGAUGCUCGUGCUGCAGCUGUUCUCACUCUAUCGUUCUGCCUCAGUUUGCCUUUGAGUUUCUGGGCCUUCCUACCGUGUUUGAGAUGUGAACUCGCCUUCGUCAGCGCUAUGAGCCCUCGGGUGAUACCUUAUACCUCUCUAUGGUCCGUCAGGAGCAUGCUCUUCAGCAGGGUGACUCUAGUGUUGAUGACUUCUACGCACAGAGUUCUGCUAUCUGGCGCCAGCUUGAUUCUCUCCGUAGUGCUGGUUGUCGCACUUGCCCCUGUUGCCAGGUUGUGCAGGCCGAUUUGGAGUUUCAUCGCGUCUACGAGUUCCUGUCUCGGCUCCGUAAGGAGUUUGAGCCCCGACGUGCUCAGUUGUUUGCUCGUGGCCGUAUUUCUCUCAUGGAGGCGCUUUCUGAGAUUCGUGCUGAGGAGACUGCUUACGUGGUGCUGGUUUGCUGGAUGUUCCCUCGGUGCUCGCUGCUCGGUCUCCUUCUACGCUACCUGCUGCACCGACACCUUCUCGCUCGAGUGCUCCGCCGCUCUUGCGCACUCCUUCUGGAGGCUCGGGUCGCCCACGUUCACAUUGUGGCUACUGCAACAAUGAUGGUCAUAUUGAGUCCCACUCCUACACGAAGAAGAAACACUUGCGCAAGGCGCGAUCAUCAUCUACAGAGACUUCGUCAUCUACCUCGACAGCUUCCGCCAUCGCUUUGACUGAGCAGGAUAUUCUGAGACUUAAGCGUCUGCUCGCUGCUUCAGGUUCUUCCUCGACGGGUACUGCUGGUUCUGUGACUGAGGCUCCCCGCACUGAGCAACCACCUUACACAGUCAGGUACAUCCCCAUGGGUUCUAGACUCUGGAGCUUCCUUUCAUAUGACUUCUAAUUCUUCCACUCUGUCCUCUCUUCGAUCGCUUGAUUCUCCUGUUCAUGUCCUCAUCGCUGAUGGUACUCCCCUUCCUGUCGUUAGUACAGGCACUACUACCACUCAUUUUGUUCCUGAUGUUGCUCAUGUUCCUCGACUUACCAUGAAUCUGUUUUCCGCUGGUCAACUUGCUGAUUCUGGUUGUCGUGUCGUCCUUGACCUUGACUCUUGUUCUGUCCAGGACCGUCGCACGCACACUCUGGUUGGGGCUGGUCCUCGCCGCCGUGAUUCUGAGGGUCUUUGGGAGUUGGACUGGCUUCAUGUUCCUUCCGCUGCCCACUCUGCCGCCAGUUCUUCUGCUUUGGUCGCCUCGGCUACUGGUUCCUUCCAGCAGUGGCAUCAUCGACUUGGUCAUCUGUGUGGUUCUCGUUUGUCGUCGUUAGUUCGUCGAGGUCUUCUGGGGUCUGUCUCAGGAGAUGCCUCUUUAGAGUGUCAGGGUUGUCGUCUUGACAAGCAGAUUCAGUUACCAUAUCCACAUAGUGAGUCAGUGUCUAAGCGUCCUUUUGAUUUAGUUCAUUCCGAUGUAUGGGGUCCGGCUCCCUUCGCUUCGAAAGGGGGUCAUAAGUACUAUAUUAUUUUCAUAGAUGACUUCUCUCGUUACACAUGGCUUUAUUUCAUGACUUCUCAUAGUGAGGUGUUGUCCAUUUAUAAGCGUUUUGUUGUCAUGGUUCAUACUCGGUUCUCUUCUCCCAUUCGUGUGUUCCGUGCUGAGUCCGCUGGCGAGUAUAUCUCUAAGAUGUUGCGUGGUGUUCUUGCUGAGCAAGGGACUCUCUCUCAAUUCUCUUGUCCUAGUGCUCACGCUCAGAAUGGCGUGGCUGAGCGCAAGCAUCGUCAUCUUCUUGAGACGGCUCGUGCAUUGAUGAUUGCUGCCUCUCGCCCGCCUCAUUUUUGGGCUGAGGCCGUCUCCACCUCCACCUAUCUCAUCAAUUUCCAGCCUUCUGCUGCUCUACAGGGUGGUGUUCCUUUCGAGCGUCUUUUUGAUCGUUCUCCCGAUUAUUCGAUGCUUCGCUUGUUUGGUUGCGUUUGCUAUGUUCUUCUUGCCCCCCGCGAACGCACCAAACUGACCGCUCAGUCUGUUGAGUGUGUCUUCUUAGGCUAUAGUGAUGGGCAUAAGGGCUAUCGUUGUUGGGAUCCUAUCGAUCGUCGGAUGCGUAUCUCUCGGGAUGUGACUUUUGAUGAGUCUCGUCCCUUCUACCCACGCCCAUCUUCCUCGACUUCUCCAGUGGAGGAUAUCUCUUUCCUCACUUUUCCUGACACACCUAUCACACCCGUCGAGCCUUUGCCUAUUCGUUUUGAUCCCUCUGCUUCUCCACCUCCAGUCGAUUUGUCGCCACCAUCUUCCACGGUCUCCUCGUCUAGCAUGUCACCGGAUUCUACACCUUCAUCUCCGGUGACUUCUUCGUCGCCACUCCCCGAUUCUAUCUUGGCGAUUCCUCCUUCCAUUGUUCCAUCUUUUCCUCAGUGUUACACUCGUCGUUCACGUUCUGUGGAUGCCUCUGUGGAUGUGUCGUCAUCCUCUUCUCAGCCUACUUAUGGCUUGCGUUCUCGUCCUCGUCCGCCUGUUGAUCGCUUUGGAUUUUCCACCGUUGGUGCUGCUGUUCUUGAGCCGACUACUCAUCAUCAGGCUGUUGUUCAUCCUGAAUGGCAGUUUGCGAUGGCAGAGGAGAUUGCUGCUCUUGAACGCACUGGUAUGUGGGAUCUUGUUUCCCUUCCUCCCGGAGUCCGUCCCAUCACUUGUAAGUGGGUCUACAAGGUUAAGACUCGCUCCGAUGGUUCUCUUGAGCGUCACAAAGCUCGUCUUGUGGCUCGUGNNNNNNNNNNNNNNNNNNNNNNNNNNNNNNNNNNNNNNNNNNNNNNNNNNNNNNNNNNNNNNNNNNNNNNNNNNNNNNNNNNNNNNNNNNNNNNNNNNNNNNNNNNNNNNNNNNNNNNNNNNNNNNNNNNNNNNNNNNCAGCAGGAGCAUGGUCGUGAUUAAGACGAGACUUUUGCUCCUGUGGCUCAUAUGACCAUUGUUCGUACACUUCUUGCCGUGGCCUCUACACGCCACUGGUCUAUCUCUCAGCUUGAUGUUAAGAAUGCUUUUCUUAAUGGUGAGCUGCGUGAGGAGGUGUACAUGCAGCCACCACCUGGGUAUUCUGUUCUUGAUGGCAUGGUAUGUCGUCUUCGUCGCUCUCUCUAUGGCCUUAAGCAAGCCCACGCGCUUGGUUUGAGCGUUUUGCCUCUGUGGUGACUGCCGCUGGUUUUUCACCCAGUGUUCAUGAUCCAGCAUUGUUUAUUCACCUUUCUCCUCGUGGUCGGACUCUUCUUCUUCUCUAUGUUGAUGACAUGGUCAUCACUGGGGAUGACCCCGAGUAUAUUGCCUUUGUCAAGGCCCAUCUUAGUGAGCAGUUCCUUAUAUCUGAUCUUGGACCUCUUCGAUACUUUAUUGGGAUUGAAGUCUCUUCUACCUCUAAUGGCUUCUUUAUAUCCCAGGAAAAGUAUAUCCAGGAUCUUCUUGCUCGUGCUGCUCUUACUGAUGAGCGCAUUGUUGAGACUCCUAUGGAGCUCAAUGAUCACCUCUCUGCUACUGAUGGUGAUCCCCUGCCUGACCCGACGCGUUAUCGUCAUCUUGUUGGCAGUCUUGUUUAUCUAGCUGUCGCUCGUCCGAAUAUCUCUUAUCCGGUUCAUAUUCUGAGUCAGUUCGUCUCUGCUCCCACAUCGGUCCACUAUAGCCAUCUCCUCCGUGUUCUCCGAUAUCUUCGGGGCACGAUAUCUCACCGUCUAUUCUUUCCUCGCUCCAGUUCUUUACAGCUUCAGGCCUAUUCGGAUGCUACGCGGGCUAGUGAUCCUUCAGAUCGUCGUUCACUUUCUGCUUACUGUGUUUUUCUUGGUGGUUCUCUCAUUGCCUGGAAGACGAAGAAACAGGUUGCAGUUUCCCGUUCGAGUGCAGAGGCUGAGUUGCGAGCGAUGGCUCUUUUGACGGCAGAGGUGACUUGGUUACGGUGGUUACUUCAGGAUUUUGGUGUUUCUGUCACUACACCGACUCUGCUCUUAUCUGACAGUACAGGUGCUAUUAGCAUUGCGCGCGAUCCUGUGAAGCAUGAGCUCACCAAGCAUAUUGGUGUUGAUGCUUUCUAUGUGCGCGCUGCUGUGCAGGAUCAGGUUGUUGCUCUUCAAUAUGUGCCUUCCGAGUUACAGUUGGCGGAUUUCCUGACGAAGGCCCAGACUAGAGCACAACAUGGCUUUUAUCUCUCCAAACUCAGUGUGGUUCAUCCACCAUGAGUUUGAGGGGGGUGUUAGAGUUAUAAUAUAAGUCAUGUACCCUUUUGUAUUUAUCCAAAUAUAUAAGGGGUUUCCUGCAUAUAGUCCAUCACCUGUACAUGUAUAUAUACCGGCCUAUGGCCUCAUGGGAAUACAAGUUGCUUAUUCCUAACANNNNNNNNNNNNNNNNNNNNNNNNNNNNNNNNNNNNNNNNNNNNNNNNNNNNNNNNNNNNNNNNNNNNNNNNNNNNNNNNNNNNNNNNNNNNNNNNNNNNNNNNNNNNNNNNNNNNNNNNNNUUGCUUAUUCCUAACAGUCGGGAUCAUCAGUCUUACUCAUGUCAGCUCUUGGCAGCAGUUUGCAAAUUGUUUGACAAAGGGGUUGGGAACAAAGGAUUGUAACUUGGCAUGUGACAAGAUGGGAAUGAUAGAUAUCUACCACCCAUCUUGAGGGGGAGUGUUGAACCAGUAUGGGCCCAGCCCAUCCACUUAUCUCUUAGGGCCCAAGCCCAUGUAAAGGGACUGACCUAGAAGGAGGCUCCAAGCCAUCCCGUUCUCAGUCUGAGCCGCCACACACACGAGACAGGAAAACUCAUGGGAGCUACCAGACUAGAGGCCUUGUCCCUUGUGGAGGUACUCCUCUCUCCCCCUCCCGAUUCUACAAUUUCAAUACACUUCAUUUGUCUGUUGUUCACAUUUAUUACAUAAUUUUUAGAGGCAUUCCAUAAUUAUUUCUGUAUACUGAUUAUAUUAGCUCGCAAAUCGAUUAACACAUGCAUGCACUCCGACCAUAUGAAUUUCCAGUUCGGACACUAAAUAGCCAACUAUGUACAUUACUACAUUGGACCUGCUAUAUGUUGUUGUACAACCUCCAUAUCUUUUGGAAUGCAUUAAUUGCGAUCUAACUCCAGUAUCUAGCACAUGAAUGCUGGAAGCACAGCCCUACGUUGUGCAGAUAUCUCAGAAAACACGUGUACCCGGCCAGAUACUGCCCCUAUACAGCCCGACACAUAUCCUGUGAGUAUCCUUUGAUUUAUUGAUUUUUUUAAAGAAACUAAUGUUUGAUACACGUGGGAUACUGCUGCGAUACGUUUUGGAGAUGGAAAACCCUUCGUUCAACGUGAAAACCCCUCGUGGAGAUGCUGCACGUCCCCAUAACUCCUCAACUGGCUGAGUCUUCUCAUAUCCCCACUGCACACGUUCUGUCCUUCUGAAUUCCAAUAGUUGAUAGCCGGCUCACCGGUGGCAGGAGACUUCCAUGUCUCCCCUGUGGGAGGUAUGACAGCCUGUAGACCUGCUAUGCUGGCCUUAACCCAUGACCUAGUAUCAGAUUUUAUUGUUCGGUCAACUAACAGGUUCCGCCUAAUGAAUGUUCGGUCAACUAACAGGUUCCGCCUAAUGAAUGGUAUAUUCAACAAAAUUAGAAUCAAGUUACUUUUUAUGAGUUUUCUCAUACGAACUUAUUUGGUAUUUUGGUUAGGUUGUUCCAUUUAGGACAAUGAAAUGCCCAACUGUACUCGGUUCUUAUUGUAGAUCAAUUGUUCGUGUACAUAAUACUUUAUUAUUGAAGGAAGCACUGCUUAUUGUGAUAAAUUCCAUUUGUGUUAAACACAAGUUAUUCCUGUGUAAAUUUGCAUCCAGCUUAGGCACAUUAUUACAUAUAUAUGUGUUAACUGAAAAAAUAAGUUGUGUAGAACCCGUUGAGGCUACAAAAUAAAAGAAAAUACACAUUAUCUGAUGGAAGUCUUUACCUAUGUUGAUGGGAGAUCAGACUUUUACUACCCCACCGCAACAAAUCAUAUAGUACAGCAAUAUUGCACGGUAUACUAGCCCAUUUGUUGUAUAGAAUUCGAGAUAUGUGCAAUGCCAUUGGGCUAAUCUAGAACCACCACAACCAAUACAUAUCAGAGUUAAUGACAAUCCACGCCACUGGGCUCGCCGAAUACCAUAAGAUUGCAUAUGGUUACCAAAAUAUAACAAUAGGUCGCGAAGCGGAAUUCACCAACCUCGCAGAAAAUGAAAUCCACCGAACAGGUGAGGAAUUUAAACUUGUGGGAUGGAGACGAACCUGGGCAUAAACCUCCUCGUCCUCGAGCAGGAACUCCUCCAUGCCCUGCGAAGACCUCCGCGACCUCGG
RNAcentral lists this long non-coding RNA (7206 nucleotides) under Hordeum vulgare. RNAcentral's name for it is "long non-coding RNA (HVUL_LNC018720)". The record is from RNAcentral. Lineage: Eukaryota; Viridiplantae; Streptophyta; Magnoliopsida; Poales; Poaceae.